AAUGUGGUUAAUGAUGCACAACUUUUUUCCCCGUCUUAUCGACUCUGGUGAAAACCAGCCUGAAAAAAAUAAUAAUUAGCCAAUUUGUCUGAAACCACAUU
This 101-nucleotide small nucleolar RNA is filed under the name Oncorhynchus kisutch (coho salmon). RNAcentral's name for it is "Small nucleolar SNORD12/SNORD106 (ENSOKIG00005042475.1)". It matches the Rfam family "Small nucleolar SNORD12/SNORD106". From Rfam's summary of the family: This family belong to the C/D class of snoRNA which contain the C (UGAUGA) and D (CUGA) box motifs. This family includes the human ortholog of mouse snoRNA HBII-99 and human snoRNA U106. In humans both HB11-99 and U106 snoRNAs share the same host gene. The record is from Rfam by way of RNAcentral. Lineage: Eukaryota; Metazoa; Chordata; Actinopteri; Salmoniformes; Salmonidae.